AGAGUUUGAUCAUGGCUCAGAUUGAACGCUGGCGGCAUGCUUUACACAUGCAAGUCGAACGGCAGCACGGGGGCAACCCUGGUGGCGAGUGGCGAACGGGUGAGUAAUACAUCGGAACGUGCCCAGUAGUGGGGGACAACCAGUCGAAAGACUGGCUAAUACCGCAUACGACCUAUGGGUGAAAGCGGGGGAUCGCAAGACCUCGCGCUAUUGGAGCGGCCGAUGUCCGAUUAGCUUGUUGGUGGGGUAAAAGCCCACCAAGGCGACGAUCGGUAGCUGGUCUGAGAGGACGGCCAGCCACACUGGGACUGAGACACGGCCCAGACUCCUACGGGAGGCAGCAGUGGGGAAUUUUGGACAAUGGGCGAAAGCCUG
This 375-nucleotide ribosomal RNA is filed under the name uncultured bacterium. Its description in RNAcentral is "bacterial SSU rRNA". It matches the Rfam family "Bacterial small subunit ribosomal RNA", at positions 8 to 385 of the family's 1533-position model. The record is from RNAcentral.